GGGGCCUGUGUGCACUGAAAGAGAGAAUGCACUUUAGGGGCCUGUGCUCAAUAAAUGGUAACUAACAUCUUUAUUAUUAGGACCAAGCACCCACCAAUGUCCUAUGGGUCUUGAACCUUCGGAUUUUCACACCUGUCACUGUGGUUCCCACUUGGCAGGAGAGGACACCAAGUCUCGGAGAAGUGAAGUGCGGUGCUCCAGGCCACACAGCAGGGCUGAGGCCAGGGCAGGAUGAGGGGGAUGUGGGGUAGCAAACCCUAAAAAUGAGCUACUGACCACUCCUGCCUGUCUCCAGUCUCAGGCUUGAGUUUCACAUUCUCCAUGUCACUCACAGGGACCUUUAGUCUGUUCCCACGCCCUGUGGCCUGCCCUUCUGCCCCACUGGGCUGAUGCCCUGAGUCUGGAAAGUUCCCCAGCCUGGGAGAGAUAAGGGCUGCCUUGCCCAGGUUCCUGGGUAGUGCCUGCCUGCGGCCCCUUUGAUUGCAGACCAGAUGGUCCUACCAGUCCAGCUGCUGGAGGAGCCAGGCCUCAGUGAUAGGGGCCAGCCCAGGGUGGGGCCGGGCCUGGUAUCAGCCACCUGGAGGGAGCACCUCCUGUGGUCACCAUGGCAACGGGCGCCCAUGCCUGCAAACAGGAAGCUGCUCCUGGGCUGGUGGUGGGAUCGGCAGGCUUGGUGGAGACCCAGACUCUUUAAUCUUCUAGAGGAAGAGGUCCAGGGGGAAGGGCCUGGUGUGGGCCGCCAAUCUCCUGUCUCCCCGGCUCAGCAAACAGGACCCUCCAGCCCGCCCAGGUGCAAGAUCCUGCUGGGCCUGGGUGAGGUGAGAUGCACAAGUGCCAGCUCCAAUCUGCCCUUGCCAAAUGCUGUUCCAAAUUGGCUCCGUGAAACCAGAACCGCAAAAUCCCGUCAGGACAGCUGGAGGUAAGCACAGCGGUGGAAGGAUUUAGACCACGUCAAAACGGCUCGUGUACAAGAGGGUGAGAAAACCUGUGGACUCCUGGGCAAAGGCACCAUCGGGAACAUUAAGAAAGCAAUCCCACCUCAAACCCACAACCAAAAUAUUUUAUAAGAACUCUCCCUUUUCCCCCCACUCUCUUUUGUCAAGUAAAGGAUACACACGGCCUUUCUACUUGUAACCUGGCCAAGAAUAAUUUGUGGCAGGAAAGUUUGAGCAUUUGUCAAAAUAAAAUAAAAAUGUAAAAAAAAAAAAAUUGCGAGCACUGGAGUGUACAUUUGUGUGAAACUAAACAGAGGGAAGGUUAUU
RNAcentral lists this long non-coding RNA (1262 nucleotides) under Rhinopithecus bieti (black snub-nosed monkey). Its description in RNAcentral is "lncRNA (ENSRBIG00000045224.1)". The record is from RNAcentral. Lineage: Eukaryota; Metazoa; Chordata; Mammalia; Primates; Cercopithecidae.